GUAAGGGAAAAUAAUGAUAUUACCUUACUAAUAGUGUCGUCAAAAACUGGUAACAGAAAACAAGGAAAGGACAGAAACAAAAACGUCAACAAAAACAAGCACCAGAAAACGCGGUAAAGCCAGAGACGAAAACCUUAAACAUAUAAAACAGAAGGAAAGGAGCCGGAGAAAACUAGGAAAAACUAAAACUCAAAGAACAUAGAGGUUAUAUUAUAUAAUACUUAGAGGAGGGAUUAAAUCCUUAGAUACUAAGGGGAAUACUUAGGGCGAAAGCAUUUUACCACUAAAGAUUGACGCUGAGAAACGAAGGAUAGGAUAGGAAAUAGGAUUAGAUACCCCGGUACCCCUCUCUGUCAACGAUGAAUGGUAG
Molecule: ribosomal RNA, 370 nt
Filed under: Rhizochaete filamentosa
Lineage: Eukaryota; Fungi; Basidiomycota; Agaricomycetes; Polyporales; Phanerochaetaceae
Description: SSU rRNA
Rfam family: Bacterial small subunit ribosomal RNA (bases 157-370)
Source: RNAcentral